RNAcentral lists this ribosomal RNA (415 nucleotides) under uncultured bacterium. RNAcentral's name for it is "bacterial SSU rRNA". It matches the Rfam family "Bacterial small subunit ribosomal RNA", at positions 401 to 809 of the family's 1533-position model. The record is from RNAcentral.
UGUGCGAAGAAGGCCUUCGGGUUGUAAAGCACUUUUGUCAGGGAAGAAAUCCUUUGGGCUAAUACCCUAGGGGGAUGACGGUACCUGAAGAAUAAGCACCGGCUAACUACGUGCCAGCAGCCGCGGUAAUACGUAGGGUGCAAGCGUUAAUCGGAAUUACUGGGCGUAAAGCGUGCGCAGGCGGUUUUGUAAGACAGGCGUGAAAUCCCCGGGCUCAACCUGGGAAUGGCGCUUGUGACUGCAAAGCUGGAGUGCGGCAGAGGGGGAUGGAAUUCCGCGUGUAGCAGUGAAAUGCGUAGAUAUGCGGAGGAACACCGAUGGCGAAGGCAAUCCCCUGGGCCUGCACUGACGCUCAUGCACGAAAGCGUGGGGAGCAAACAGGAUUAGAUACCCUGGUAGUCCACGCCCUAAACGA